This 249-nucleotide ribosomal RNA is filed under the name uncultured bacterium. Its description in RNAcentral is "partial 16S ribosomal RNA". It matches the Rfam family "Bacterial small subunit ribosomal RNA", at positions 355 to 620 of the family's 1533-position model. The record is from RNAcentral.
UGGGGAAUAUUGGACAAUGGGGGCAACCCUGAUCCAGCAAUGCCGCGUGUGUGAAGAAGGUCUUCGGAUUGUAAAGCACUUUCGACGGGGACGAUGAUGACGGUACCCGUAGAAGAAGCCCCGGCUAACUUCGUGCCAGCAGCCGCGGUAAUACGAAGGGGGCUAGCGUUGCUCGGAAUGACUGGGCGUAAAGGGCGUGUAGGCGGUUUACACAGUCAGAUGUGAAAUCCCCGGGCUUAAGCCUUGGGA